UGGGGAAUAUUGCACAAUGGGGGAAACCCUGAUGCAGCGACGCCGCGUGAGUGAAGAAGUAUUUCGGUAUGUAAAGCUCUAUCAGCAGGGAAGAAAAUGACGGUACCUGACUAAGAAGCCCCGGCUAACUACGUGCCAGCAGCCGCGGUAAUACGUAGGGGGCAAGCGUUAUCCGGAUUUACUGGGUGUAAAGGGAGCGUAGGUGGCAUGGUAAGCCAGAAGUGAAAACCCGGGGCUCAACCCCGCGGAUUGCUUUUGGAACUAUCAGGCUGGAGUGCUGGAGGGGUAAGCGGAAUUCCUAGU
RNAcentral lists this ribosomal RNA (303 nucleotides) under uncultured bacterium. Its description in RNAcentral is "bacterial SSU rRNA". It matches the Rfam family "Bacterial small subunit ribosomal RNA", at positions 355 to 674 of the family's 1533-position model. The record is from RNAcentral.